CAGCCGCCGCGGGAAUACGUAGGUGGCAAGCGUUGUCCGGAAUUAUUGGGCGUAAAGGGAGCGUAGGCGGAUCGUUUGGUCAGGGGUGAAAUCCCGGGGCUCAACCUCGGAACUGCCUUUGAUACUGUUUGUCUUGAGUUCGAGAGAGGUAAGUGGAACUGCGAGUGUAGAGGUGAAAUUCGUAGAUAUUCGCAAGAACACCAGUGGCGAAGGCGGCUUACUGGCUCGAUACUGACGCUGAGGCGCGAAAGCGUGGGGAGCAAACAGGAUUAGAUACCCGAGUAGUCCCUGUCUCUUAUAC
This 301-nucleotide ribosomal RNA is filed under the name uncultured bacterium. RNAcentral's name for it is "partial 16S ribosomal RNA". It matches the Rfam family "Bacterial small subunit ribosomal RNA", at positions 509 to 807 of the family's 1533-position model. The record is from RNAcentral.